UGGGGAAUCUUGCGCAAUGGGCGAAAGCCUGACGCAGCAACGCCGCGUGAGCGAAGAAGGCCUUCGGGUUGUAAAGCUCUGUCAGGAGGGACGAAGCCACUCGGGUGAACAGCCCAGAGGGUGACGGUACCUCCAGAGGAAGCCCCGGCUAACUACGUGCCAGCAGCCGCGGUAAUACGUAGGGGGCGAGCGUUGUCCGGAAUCAUUGGGCGUAAAGCGCGUGUAGGCGGCUUGGCAAGUCUGGUGUGAAAGCUCGAGGCUCAACCUCGAGUCUGCACCGGAAACCGCCUUGCUAGAGUCCGGAAGAGGAGACUGGAAUUCCUGGUGUAGCGGUGAAAUGCGCAGAUAUCAGGAAGAACACCGGUGGCGAAGGCGGGUCUCUGGGACGGUACUGACGCUGAGACGCGAAAGCGUGGGGAGCAAACAG
Molecule: ribosomal RNA, 427 nt
Filed under: uncultured bacterium
Lineage: Bacteria
Description: bacterial SSU rRNA
Rfam family: Bacterial small subunit ribosomal RNA
Source: RNAcentral